RNAcentral lists this ribosomal RNA (492 nucleotides) under uncultured bacterium. RNAcentral describes it as "partial 16S ribosomal RNA". It matches the Rfam family "Bacterial small subunit ribosomal RNA", at positions 29 to 507 of the family's 1533-position model. The record is from RNAcentral.
AGUGAACGCUGGCGGUAGGCCUAACACAUGCAAGUCGAACGGCAGCACAGUAAGAGCUUGCUCUUUCGGGUGGCGAGUGGCGGACGGGUGAGGAAUACAGCGGAAUCUACUUUUUCGUGGGGUAAAACGUAGGGAAACUUACGCUAAUACCGCAUACGACCUACGGGUGAAAGCAGGGGAUCUUCGGACCUUGCGCGCGUAAAUGAGCCGAUGUCGGAUUAGCUAGUUGGCGGGGUAAAGGCCCACCAAGGCGACGAUCCGUAGCUGGCCUGAGAGGAUGAUCAGCCACACUGGAACUGAGACACGGUCCAGACUCCUACGGGAGGCAGCAGUGGGGAAUAUUGGACAAUGGGCGCAAGCCUGAUCCAGCCAUACCGCGUGGGUGAAGAAGGCCUUCAGGUUGUAAAGCCCUUUUGUUGGGAAAGAAAAGCAGCAGGUUAAUACCCCGCUGUUCUGACGUUACCCAAAGAAUAAGCACCGGCUAACUUCGUG